This 497-nucleotide ribosomal RNA is filed under the name uncultured bacterium. RNAcentral describes it as "partial 16S ribosomal RNA". It matches the Rfam family "Bacterial small subunit ribosomal RNA", at positions 28 to 507 of the family's 1533-position model. The record is from RNAcentral.
GAUGAACGCUGGCGGCGUGCCUAAUACAUGCAAGUCGAGCGAACGGACGAGACGCUUGCUUUUCUGAUGUUAGCGGCGGACGUGUGAGUAACACGUGUAUAACCUACCUAUAAGACUGGGAUAACUUCGGGAAACCGGAGCUAAUACCGGAUAAUAUUUUGAACCGCAUGGUUCAAAAGUGAAAGACGGUCUUGCUGUCACUUAUAGAUGGAUCCGCGCUGCAUUAGCUAGUUGGUAAGGUAACGGCUUACCAAGGCAACGAUGCAUAGCCGACCUGAGAGGGUGAUCGGCCACACUGGAACUGAGACGCGGUCCAGACUCCUACGGGAGGCAGCAGAAGGGAAUCUUCCGCAGUGGGCGAAAGCCUGACGGAGCAACGCCGCGUGAGUGAUGAAGGUCUUCGGAUCGUGAAACUCUGUUAUUAGGGAAAAACAUAUGUGUAAGUAACUGUGCACAUCUUGACGGUAACUAAUCAGAAAGCCACGGCUAACUACGUG